Molecule: long non-coding RNA, 1023 nt
Organism: Cyprinus carpio carpio
Lineage: Eukaryota; Metazoa; Chordata; Actinopteri; Cypriniformes; Cyprinidae
Source: Ensembl
UUUUGGCCUCGUCUAUUCGGUUGCUGACACCAAAUUUCAAGACGGAAGUUUUUCUUCGUGUACUAUGUUGGGUGACAUGAGAUAAGAAGAUGUGGAAAUGUUUGCAUGUUCAACAGAAUUACGGACAAAAAUCUACAGCAGGAAUUCUAUGAAAACCUGGACAGACACAGUUCACGGUUCAUGGACCUUUUUACAACCAGAAGGGGGACUCCUGGUCAGCACUUGUUGAAGUUUUUACAGCAAAUAGAGGACUGCCUAUCAUGCUCGGAGAUGAAGACUCUUCUUUCUUCAAGUCAUGUUUAGAAGCAUCUACAUUUACAUAAAUUCAAAUGUAUAAAUGUCAAUAUAAUGUUGGAUUAGGGUGUCUGAUCAUUGCAACACUAUCCUUGAUGUGCCAAUGGGGCUCUUAUUCGAGGACACCGAUCUUCAGCCCCCCCAACUCCUUGCAUUUGACUUCUUCGAUUGGAAUAAUUCUUGAAGGCCAAGUGGUGAUGGACAAAAUGCAGGACCUCCCACAGGCAAUCUGUCUUCUCUUCGGUCUGAUUUAUGCACUAGACCUGAAUUACACAAAAUCACUUGCCAACUCAUUGAUUUCAUCCAGCAUGUACUAAUGACAAUGGGACAGAAUGCUCUCAAGCCUAGAGUGCAGUCUCUAGCAAACCAGCUUUUUGCUUAAGAAACGUCACUGUGGUACUUUAACACCACCCUCUGUUUUGGGUUUUUCCCCCAUCAAUUUACUCCAUUAUCCAUUUAUGAAGAAUAAAAAGUAUGUUUAAAUAGUUAAAUGCACAGAGUUCUACAACUGAUGUGCAGUAUUUAAUUUGGGAUAUUGUUACCAUUGUUACACCUCUGUAGUGUGGUUGUGACCCGGUAAUAUUUCCAUUACAGUAUAGUUUGUACUGUAAUAUUGUGACAUUUGGGCCAAAGAUAUGUUCAGUAUGUAUUAGUUUAGUUUGAUGUGUUUGCAGAAAGCUUAAAUGGUGAGCUGUAGUAAGACCGUAGUUCUUAUGUUUAGCCUACAUG